GGAGGGAAUUUGCGUCUCUAGGCUGCUCUGUUAUUAUUGUUGUUUUGUAAUUAAUAAAUAAUGUCAAUCAAUUAAAAAUACACGUCUCAUCUAAAAGUUUAAACUAUCAAGAUUACGUUUCAAUAUAAAUAUUUGAAUAUUUGAGUUAAUUACUUGAUUAUUUUUUGGUCUGUCGUUGAUGCCGGUAUCCUGUUUUCACAAUUUUAUUAGCUGGUAAAAAUCUGUGUCUCUUCUGUCUCACUCAAAUGGUUUUCAUAAAUAUUUGGCUUUAAAAAUAUCAGAGAGAAUCUGGUAACAUCAUGGAACAUCUUUAUAUCCAGCAUUUAAACACAAGCUUCCAUUUGCUAAAUGACACUGA
Molecule: long non-coding RNA, 358 nt
Organism: Aphidius gifuensis
Lineage: Eukaryota; Metazoa; Arthropoda; Insecta; Hymenoptera; Braconidae
Exons: 3
Source: RefSeq, a predicted model, not a curated record